UACGGAGGGUGCAAACGUUGCUCGGAAUCAUUGGGCGUAAAGCGCACGUAGGCGGACCGCUAAGUCGGAUGUGAAAGCCCUCGGCUUAACCGAGGAAGUGCAUUCGAAACUGACAGUCUUGAGUAUGGAAGAGGGUCGCGGAAUUCCCGGUGUAGAGGUGAAAUUCGUAGAUAUCGGGAGGAACACCGGUGGCGAAGGCGGCGACCUGGGUAGAUACUGACGCUGAGGUGCGAAAGCGUGGGGAGCAAACAGG
RNAcentral lists this ribosomal RNA (253 nucleotides) under uncultured bacterium. RNAcentral describes it as "partial 16S ribosomal RNA". It matches the Rfam family "Bacterial small subunit ribosomal RNA", at positions 524 to 776 of the family's 1533-position model. The record is from RNAcentral.